This 253-nucleotide ribosomal RNA is filed under the name uncultured bacterium. RNAcentral describes it as "partial 16S ribosomal RNA". It matches the Rfam family "Bacterial small subunit ribosomal RNA", at positions 524 to 776 of the family's 1533-position model. The record is from RNAcentral.
UACAGAGGGUGCGAGCGUUAAUCGGAAUUACUGGGCGUAAAGCGCGCGUAGGCGGCUUUGCAAGUCGGGUGUGAAAUCCCCAGGCUUAACCUGGGAACUGCAUUCGAGACUGCGUUGCUAGAGUAUGGGAGAGGGAAGUGGAAUUUCCGGUGUAGCGGUGAAAUGCGUAGAUAUCGGAAGGAACAUCAGUGGCGAAAGCGACUUCCGGGACCAAUAUUGACUCUCAUGUGCGAAAGCGUGGGGAGCAAACAGG